AGCACCGCUCUGCUCUCUCGCCUCCCCAGCGGCAGACACCCCAGCCUGUGCCACGGCCACUGCUCAGGGUGGGGAAGGAGGUUUGAUUUGCCCAAGGACCACCAGGGAAUCACUGCAUGGGCUGACCCCAGCUGCAGCCCUCCUGCAUGGCUGCCUGUCACUCCAGCUAAGCAGAGGAGCUGCCGUUACCAGCACCCUUUCCCUUUCUAAUCUGAAGGCAGCCCUGCGGUGAGAGAGUCCCAGCGUCACCCAUCACCCCAGCAGGUCAGGGGCCCUGGAGUCCCCCCUUGAUGAAUGACCUUAGCAGGAAAGAGAAAUCUGCCCCCUC
RNAcentral lists this long non-coding RNA (328 nucleotides) under Homo sapiens (human). Its description in RNAcentral is "HSALNT0169463". The record is from RNAcentral. Lineage: Eukaryota; Metazoa; Chordata; Mammalia; Primates; Hominidae.